This 1456-nucleotide long non-coding RNA is filed under the name Salmo salar (Atlantic salmon). RNAcentral's name for it is "lncRNA (ENSSSAG00000099255.1, ENSSSAG00000118647.1)". Lineage: Eukaryota; Metazoa; Chordata; Actinopteri; Salmoniformes; Salmonidae. The record is from RNAcentral.
GAAUCAGCUAAUUAGAAAUAUCAGAUGUACGUGGCUGUGUGUCGAACACACACACAGAUAGACAUCCCAUGUGGUUCCACUUUAAACAAACUGCAACUGAAAGCAACACUGCAGUCAGUGUAUUCUAAUCUGGAGCAGGGCAGGUGGUGUAACUGUCUAACGAGACCCAUAGCGUGUUACAUGCUAAGCUAACACAAAAACACAUUCUCUCAGUAACCUGACCAGGUAAAUGAAGACGGUGUGUUCAGUACGUGACAGGUGUGUUCAGUAAAUGACAGGUGUGUUCAGUAGACGACAGGUGUGUUCAGUAAAUGACAGGUGUGUUCAGUAAGUGACAGGUGUGUUCAGUAAGUGACAGGUGUGUUCAGUACGCGACAGGUGUGUUCAGUAAGUGACAGGUGUGUUCAGUACGUGCCAGGUGUGUUCAGUAAGUGACAGGUGUGUUCAGUACAUGACAGGUGUAUUCAGUAAGUGACAAGUGUGUUCAGUAGACACCAAGUGUGUUCAGUAAGUGACAGGUGUGUUCAGUAAGUGACAGGUGUGUUCAGUAGACACCAAACGUGUUCAGUAAGUGACAGGUGUGUUCAGUAGACACCAAACGUGUUCAGUAAGUGACAAGUGUGUUCAGUAGACACCAAGUGUGUUCAGUAAGUGACAGGUGUGUUCAGUAAGUGACAGGUGUGUUCAAUAAGUGACAGGUGUGUUCAGUACGCAACAGGUGUGUUCAGUACGUGACAGGUGUGUUCAGUACAUGACAGGUGUGUUCAGUACGUGACAGGUGUGUUCAGUACGUGACAGGUGUGUUCAGUACGUGACAGGUGUGUUCAGUAAGUGACAGGUGUGUUCAGUACGUGACAGGUGUGUUCAGUACGCGACAGGUGUGUUCAGUACGUGACAGGUGUGUUCAGUACAUGACAGGUGUGUUCAAUAAGUGACAGGUGUGUUCAGUAAGUGACAGGUGUGUUCAGUAAGUGACAGGUGUUUUCAGUACGUGACAGGUGUGUUCAGUAAGUGACAGGUGUGUUCAAUAAGUGACAGGUGUGUUCAGUACGUGCCAGGUGUGUUCAGUACGUGACAGGUGUGUUCAGUACGUGACAGGUGUGUUCAGUACGUGACAGGUGUGUUCAGUACGUGACAGGUGUGUUCAGUAGAUGACAGGUGUGUUCAGUAAGUGACAGGUGUUUUCAGUACGUGACAGGUGUGUUCAGUACGUGCCAGGUGUGUUCAGUAAGUGCCAGGUGUGUUCAGUACGUGCCAGGUGUGUUCAGUAAGUGACAGGUGUGUUCAGUACGUGCCAGGUGUGUUCAGUAAGUGACAGGUGUGUUCAGUACGUGCCAGGUGUGUUCAGUACGUGCCAGCCACACUCGUUGCUGACAGGUGUAUAAAACCGAGCACACCGCCAUGCAAUCUCCAUAGACAAACAUUGUUAGUAGAAUGGCUCGUACUGAAGAGCUCA